CAGAGGGUGCGAGCGUUAAUCGGAAUUACUGGGCGUAAAGCGCGCGUAGGCGGCUUUGCAAGUCGGGUGUGAAAUCUCCAGGCUUAACCUGGGAACUGCAUUCGAGACUGCAUUGCUAGAGUAUGGGAGAGGGAAGUGGAAUUUCCGGUGUAGCGGUGAAAUGCGUAGAUAUCGGAAGGAACAUCAGUGGCGAAAGCGACUUCCUGGACCAAUACUGACGCUCAUGUGCGAAAGCGUGGGGAGCAAACAGGAUUAGAUACCCUGGUAGUCCACGCCAUAAACGAUGAGAACUGGAUGUCGGGAGGGUCUGCCUCUCGGUGUCGUAGCUAACGCGUUAAGUUCUCCGCCUGGGGAGUACGGCCGCAAGGUUG
This 371-nucleotide ribosomal RNA is filed under the name uncultured organism. Its description in RNAcentral is "bacterial SSU rRNA". It matches the Rfam family "Bacterial small subunit ribosomal RNA", at positions 526 to 896 of the family's 1533-position model. The record is from RNAcentral.